GUAUUGAUUGGUGCUUGCAUCAUGAUUUACAUUUGAGUGAGUGGCGAACUGGUGAGUAACACGUGGGAAACCUGCCCAGAAGCGGGGGAUAACACCUGGAAACAGAUGCUAAUACCGCAUAACAACUUGGACCGCAUGGUCCGAGUUUGAAAGAUGGCUUCGGCUAUCACUUUUGGAUGGUCCCGCGGCGUAUUAGCUAGAUGGUGGGGUAACGGCUCACCAUGGCAAUGAUACGUAGCCGACCUGAGAGGGUAAUCGGCCACAUUGGGACUGAGACACGGCCCAAACUCCUACGGGAGGCAGCAGUAGGGAAUCUUCCACAAUGGACGAAAGUCUGAUGGAGCAACGCCGCGUGAGUGAAGAAGGGUUUCGGCUCGUAAAACUCUGUUGUUAAAGAAGAACAUAUCUGAGAGUAACUGUUCAGGUAUUGACGGUAUUUAACCAGAAAGCCACGGCUAACUACGUGCCAGCAGCCGCGGUAAUACGUAGGUGGCAAGCGUUGUCCGGAUUUAUUGGGCGUAAAGCGAGCGCAGGCGGUUUUUUAAGUCUGAUGUGAAAGCCUUCGGCUCAACCGAAGAAGUGCAUCGGAAACUGGGAAACUUGAGUGCAGAAGAGGACAGUGGAACUCCAUGUGUAGCGGUGAAAUGCGUAGAUAUAUGGAAGAACACCAGUGGCGAAGGCGGCUGUCUGGUCUGUAACUGACGCUGAGGCUCGAAAGUAUGGGUAGCAAACAGGAUUAGAUACCCUGGUAG
RNAcentral lists this ribosomal RNA (752 nucleotides) under Lactiplantibacillus plantarum. RNAcentral's name for it is "bacterial SSU rRNA". It matches the Rfam family "Bacterial small subunit ribosomal RNA", at positions 64 to 793 of the family's 1533-position model. The record is from RNAcentral. Lineage: Bacteria; Bacillati; Bacillota; Bacilli; Lactobacillales; Lactobacillaceae.